RNAcentral lists this ribosomal RNA (525 nucleotides) under uncultured bacterium. RNAcentral's name for it is "bacterial SSU rRNA". It matches the Rfam family "Bacterial small subunit ribosomal RNA", at positions 21 to 518 of the family's 1533-position model. The record is from RNAcentral.
GGUUCAGGACGAACGCUGGCGGCGUGCCUAAUACAUGCAAGUCGAACGGUCUUUCUAUGGAAGCUUGCUUCCACUGAGAAGAUAGUGGCGAACGGGUGAGUAAUACGUGGGGUAACCUGCCCAUAAGAGGGGGAUAACAUCCGGAAACGGGUGCUAAUACCGCAUAGUUUUCUUGAUCGCAUGAUCGGGAAAGGAAAGACGGCCUUUGUGCUGUCGCUUAUGGAUGGACCCGCGGCGUAUUAGUUAGUUGGUGAGGUAACGGCUCACCAAGACGAUGAUACGUAGCCGACCUGAGAGGGUGAUCGGCCACAUUGGGACUGAGACACGGCCCAAACUCCUACGGGAGGCAGCAGUAGGGAAUCUUCCGCAAUGGACGAAAGUCUGACGGAGCAACGCCGCGUGAGUGAAAGAAGGUUUUCGGAUCGUAAAACUCUGUUGUCAGAGAAGAACAAGUCGGAGAGUAACUGCUCCGGCCUUGACGGUAUCUGACCAGAAAGCCACGGCUAACUACGUGCCAGCAGCCGC